This 137-nucleotide non-coding RNA is filed under the name Klebsiella michiganensis E718. RNAcentral describes it as "RT-12 RNA". It matches the Rfam family "RT-12 RNA". Rfam says of the family: Proteobacteria. Nearby to self-splicing intron genes The record is from Rfam by way of RNAcentral. Lineage: Bacteria; Pseudomonadati; Pseudomonadota; Gammaproteobacteria; Enterobacterales; Enterobacteriaceae.
AAACAUUUGCGGUGAAAUGCGCAAUUGGAUUCUGUUGAGUUCUUUGUGUAUGAGAAGGUUGGAGAAAGACCACUUUGUUAAGCCGGGGUGAUGUUUUUUUGAAUGACCGCAGUUCGAAAUCGCCCCGGUUUCACAAU